This is a non-coding RNA of Dyadobacter psychrophilus, 222 nucleotides long. The record is from Rfam. Lineage: Bacteria; Pseudomonadati; Bacteroidota; Cytophagia; Cytophagales; Spirosomataceae.
CGAGGUGGACCCACCGCUGGUGAACCGGUUGUCACGCCAGUGGCAUGGCCGGGUAGCUAUGUGGGGAAUAGAUAAGCGCUGAAAGCAUCUAAGUGCGAAACUAGCCCGAAGAUGAAUCUUCCACAUAAGGGUCGUUGUAGACUACGACGUUGAUAGGCUGCAGGUGUACGUGUAGAAAUACAUUCAGCUGAGCAGUACUAAUUACCCAAGAGCUUGCACAUU